This 615-nucleotide ribosomal RNA is filed under the name uncultured fungus. RNAcentral's name for it is "eukaryotic LSU rRNA". It matches the Rfam family "Eukaryotic large subunit ribosomal RNA", at positions 24 to 664 of the family's 3401-position model. Lineage: Eukaryota; Fungi. The record is from RNAcentral.
CCCGCUGAACUUAAGCAUAUCAAUAAGCGGAGGAAAAGAAACCAACAGGGAUUGCCCUAGUAACGGCGAGUGAAGCGGCAACAGCUCAAAUUUGAAAUCUGGCCCUCGGGUCCGAGUUGUAAUUUGUAGAGGAUGCUUUUGGUGAGGUACCUUCCGAGUUCCCGGGAACGGGACGCCAUAGAGGGUGAGAGCCCCGUCUGGUUGGAUACCGAUCCUCUGUAAAGCUCCUUCGACGAGUCGAGUAGUUUGGGAAUGCUGCUCUAAAUGGGAGGUAUAUGUCUUCUAAAGCUAAAUAUUGCCCAGAGACCGAUAGCGCACAAGUAGAGUGAUCGAAAGAUGAAAAGCACUUGAAAAGNAGAGUUAAAAAGUACGUGAAAUUGUUGAAAGGGAAGCGCUCAUGACCAGACUUGGGCUUGGUUGAUCAUCCAGGGUUCUCCCUGGUGCACUCUUCCAGCUCAGGCCAGCAUCAGUUCGCCGCGGGGGAUAAAGGCUUUGGGAAUGUGGCUCCUCCGGGAGUGUUAUAGCCCACUGCGUAAUACCCUGUAGUGGACUGAGGUUCGCGCAUCUGCAAGGAUGCUGGCGUAAUGGUCAUCAGCGACCCGUCUUGAAACACGG